CAUAACUUCGGGACAUUACUUCUUACGCUCAGGAUGGACACGUUUGGGCCGUCCUUCAGCCACUAGGACUUCGUAUUUGGAAAGUCACCCGUUGGUGCAUGUUUCAGGACUUUACGUUUCAAGACUUUUUUCCGUUUAUUAUUGGUUGUCUUUGAUGUCGCUUUCGAAAGAGGGGGAGGAGCCUCAUCACUGUGAUCACUAUACCUCCUACUGCAUUUUGAUUGGU
Molecule: non-coding RNA, 226 nt
Organism: Pelobates cultripes (western spadefoot toad)
Lineage: Eukaryota; Metazoa; Chordata; Amphibia; Anura; Pelobatidae
Source: the annotation of a GenBank genome assembly